GACUGACUGCUCGAUACUGACACUGAGGUGCGAAAGCGUGGGGAGCAAACGGGAUUAGAUACCCCGGUAGUCCACGCCGUAAACGAUGUCUACUAGCCGUUGGAGGACUUGAUCCUUUAGUGGCGCAGCUAACGCGAUAAGUAGACCGCCUGGGGAGUACGGUCGCAAGAUUAAAACUCAAAUGAAUUGACGGGGGCCCGCACAAGCGGUGGAGCAUGUGGUUUAAUUCGAAGCAACGCGAAGAACCUUACCUACUCUUGACAUCCAGUGAACUUUUGAGAGAUCAAUUGGUGCCUUCGGGAACACUGAGACAGGUGCUGCAUGGCUGUCGUCAGCUCGUGUUGUGAAAUGUUGGGUUAAGUCCCGUAACGAGCGCAACCCUUGUCCUUAGUUACCAUCAUUAAGUUGGGGACUCUAAGGAGACUGCCGGUGACAAACCGGAGGAAGGCGGGGACGACGUCAAGUCAUCAUGGCCCUUACGAGUAGGGCUACACACGUGCUACAAUGGCAUGUACAAAGGGUUGCCAAGCCGCGAGGUGGAGCUAAUCCCAUAAAGCAUGUCGUAGUCCGGAUUGGAGUCUGCAACUCGACUCCAUGAAGUCGGAAUCGCUAGUAAUCGUGAAUCAGAAUGUCACGGUGAAUACGUUCCCGGGCCUUGUACACACCGCCCGUCACACCAUGGGAGUGGGUUGCUCCAGAAGUAGAUAGCUUAACCUUCGGGAGGGCGUUUACCACGGAGUGAUUCAUGACUGGGGUGAAGUCGUAACAAGGUAGCCGUA
This 779-nucleotide ribosomal RNA is filed under the name uncultured bacterium. RNAcentral's name for it is "bacterial SSU rRNA". It matches the Rfam family "Bacterial small subunit ribosomal RNA", at positions 723 to 1504 of the family's 1533-position model. The record is from RNAcentral.